RNAcentral lists this ribosomal RNA (111 nucleotides) under Caerostris extrusa. The record is from RNAcentral. Lineage: Eukaryota; Metazoa; Arthropoda; Arachnida; Araneae; Araneidae.
ACGGCCAUACAUGUUGAAUAUACCGGUUCUCGUUAGAUCACCGAAGUCAAGCAUCAUUGGGCACGGUCAGUACUUGGGUGGGUGACCACCUGGGAACACCGCGUGCCGUUA